ACGAGAGGAUGAAGAACGAGAAAGCCGGAGCAAUCUGGUGAGUAAAGUUUUUUCCGGGUGAGUAAGGAAUGGGUGAUCUGCCCUUUGGUGGGGGAUAACCUGGGGAAACCUGGGCUAAUACCGCAUAAGUCCGCGAGGAGAAAGUCGCAAGACGCCGAAGGAGGAGCCCGCGGCCGAUUAGCUAGUUGGUAGGGUAACGGCCUACCAAGGCUACGAUCGGUAGCCGGCCUGAGAGGGCACACGGCCACACUGGCUCUGAAACACGGGCCAGACUCCUACGGGAGGCUUUCUGUGGGACUCCUACGGGAGGCAGCAGUGGG
RNAcentral lists this small RNA (320 nucleotides) under uncultured bacterium. RNAcentral's name for it is "bacterial SSU rRNA". The stretch from base 9 to 287 matches the Rfam family "Bacterial small subunit ribosomal RNA", at positions 59 to 350 of the family's 1533-position model. The record is from RNAcentral.